GCCUACGGGACGCAGCAGUGGGGAAUAUUGGACAAUGGGCGCAAGCCUGAUCCAGCCAUGCCGCGUGGAUGAUGAAGGCCCUAGGGUUGUAAAGUCCUUUUAACGGGGAAGAUAAUGACGGUACCCGUAGAAUAAGCCCCGGCUAACUUCGUGCCAGCAGCCGCGGUAAUACGAAGGGGGCUAGCGUUGCUCGGAAUUACUGGGCGUAAAGCGCACGUAGGCGGCUUUCUAAGUCGGGGGUGAAAUCCUGGAGCUCAACUCCAGAACUGCCUUCGAUACUGGAGAGCUCGAGUUCGGGAGAGGUGAGUGGAACUGCGAGUGUAGAGGUGAAAUUCGUAGAUAUUCGCAAGAACACCAGUGGCGAAGGCGGCUCACUGGCCCGAUACUGACGCUGAGGUGCGAAAGCGUGGGGAGCAAACAGGAUUAGAUACCCUUGUAGUCC
Molecule: ribosomal RNA, 442 nt
Filed under: uncultured bacterium
Lineage: Bacteria
Description: bacterial SSU rRNA
Rfam family: Bacterial small subunit ribosomal RNA
Source: RNAcentral